Molecule: ribosomal RNA, 449 nt
Filed under: uncultured bacterium
Lineage: Bacteria
Description: partial 16S ribosomal RNA
Rfam family: Bacterial small subunit ribosomal RNA
Source: RNAcentral
GUCGAGAAUCUUUCACAAUGGGGGCAACCCUGAUGGAGCGACGCCGCGUGGAGGAUAAGGUCUUCGGAUUGUAAACUCCUGUCAUGCGUGAACAAGGUUGCUUGGUUAAUACCUGGGCAAAUUGAUGGUAACGCAAGAGGAAGAGACGGCUAACUCUGUGCCAGCAGCCGCGGUAAUACAGAGGUCUCAAGCGUUGUUCGGAAUCACUGGGCGUAAAGGGUGCGUAGGUGGCGUGGUAAGUCAGAUGUGAAAGCCCGGGGCUCAACCUCGGAACUGCAUCCUAUACUGCCAUGCUAGAGUACUGGAGAGGUGACUAGAAUUCUCGGUGUAGCAGUGAAAUGCGUAGAUAUCGAGAGGAAUACCAAAGGCGUAGGCAGGUCACUGGACAGUUACUGACACUGAGGCACGAAGGCCAGGGGAGCGAACGGGAUUAGAAACCCUUGUAGUCC